Molecule: long non-coding RNA, 515 nt
Filed under: Dermacentor andersoni
Lineage: Eukaryota; Metazoa; Arthropoda; Arachnida; Ixodida; Ixodidae
Description: uncharacterized LOC126521902
Source: RNAcentral
CAUCUUCCAAUCGGCCUGACCAGUGAUGAAGUGGACUUUUUUUUUCGGCGGAAUCCAUCGUCAACAUCGUCCAUCCACUACGUAAACGAAAUGGCGUGCCCAGAGUAUACAUCGUGACAGCGCUCCGCCUUCAAACCGAGGGCCUUUUGCAAGGCGCAUGGACGGCUCAUAUAAAAGUUAGUCAGCAUGAAGCAAUUGCAUGGGAACCGGCCGAUUGUCUUGGGCCUACACAUUGCUCAAAAGACAGUGAAGGUGUCUGAGCCGACAGGUAGAAAACAAGCAGAUGGCUACAGCGAUCAAUGAAGAAAUGGCUUCAUCUAUGAUGGCUCGCCUUAGGACAUUGGAAUGGAGCUACACAAAGGCAUCACCAGCCUCGCCUGUGCCCUGGAACAUUGGUUUGAAUAAGACUGUUCUUCAGUGUAGAACGACCACAAGACUUGUCACCACAUACAAGGCGUAGUGCAAGCUCUAAAUAUUGUACAGGUGGCUAGAAUAAAUGACCCUCCAUGCAGUCA